RNAcentral lists this ribosomal RNA (194 nucleotides) under Alteromonas litorea. RNAcentral describes it as "partial 16S ribosomal RNA". It matches the Rfam family "Bacterial small subunit ribosomal RNA", at positions 338 to 524 of the family's 1533-position model. The record is from RNAcentral. Lineage: Bacteria; Pseudomonadati; Pseudomonadota; Gammaproteobacteria; Alteromonadales; Alteromonadaceae. RNAcentral also lists the same sequence under 2 other names.
CCUACGGGAGGCAGCAGUGGGGAAUAUUGCACAAUGGGGGAAACCCUGAUGCAGCCAUGCCGCGUGUGUGAAGAAGGCCUUCGGGUUGUAAAGCACUUUCAGUUGUGAGGAAAAGUUAGUAGUUAAUACCUGCUAGCCGUGACGUUAACAACAGAAGAAGCACCGGCUAACUCCGUGCCAGCAGCCGCGGUAAU